This 549-nucleotide ribosomal RNA is filed under the name Enterobacteriaceae bacterium enrichment culture clone 9-3. RNAcentral describes it as "bacterial SSU rRNA". It matches the Rfam family "Bacterial small subunit ribosomal RNA", at positions 355 to 896 of the family's 1533-position model. The record is from RNAcentral. Lineage: Bacteria; Pseudomonadati; Pseudomonadota; Gammaproteobacteria; Enterobacterales; Enterobacteriaceae.
UGGGGAAUAUUGGACAAUGGGCGAAAGCCUGAUCCAGCCAUGCCGCGUGUGUGAAGAAGGCCCUCGGGUUGUAAAGCGCUUUCAGCGAGGAAGAACGCCUAGUGGUUAAUACCCAUUAGGAAAGACAUCACUCGCAGAAGAAGCACCGGCUAACUCCGUGCCAGCAGCCGCGGUAAUACGGAGGGUGCAAGCGUUAAUCGGAAUUACUGGGCGUAAAGCGCGCGUAGGUGGCUUGAUAAGCCGGUUGUGAAAGCCCCGGGCUCAACCUGGGAACGGCAUCCGGAACUGUCAAGCUAGAGUGCAGGAGAGGAAGGUAGAAUUCCCGGUGUAGCGGUGAAAUGCGUAGAGAUCGGGAGGAAUACCAGUGGCGAAGGCGGCCUUCUGGACUGACACUGACACUGAGGUGCGAAAGCGUGGGUAGCAAACAGGAUUAGAUACCCUGGUAGUCCACGCCGUAAACGAUGUCGACCAGCCGUUGGGUGCCUAGCGCACUUUGUGGCGAAGUUAACGCGAUAAGUCGACCGCCUGGGGAGUACGGCCGCAAGGUUA